UCAAACUUUAAAUGGGUAAGAAGUCCGGCU
Molecule: non-coding RNA, 30 nt
Filed under: Mus musculus (house mouse)
Lineage: Eukaryota; Metazoa; Chordata; Mammalia; Rodentia; Muridae
Source: RNAcentral